UAUUAAGCAUGAACCUUAUCCCGAACCUGAUUCCUGUAAGAUUGACAACCCUGUCGGAUCUGACUUCUGAAAU
RNAcentral lists this small nucleolar RNA (73 nucleotides) under Salmo salar (Atlantic salmon). Its description in RNAcentral is "Small nucleolar RNA SNORD50 (ENSSSAG00000101915.1)". It matches the Rfam family "Small nucleolar RNA SNORD50". From Rfam's summary of the family: U50 belongs to the C/D class of snoRNA which contain the C (UGAUGA) and D (CUGA) box motifs. Most of the members of the box C/D family function in directing site-specific 2'-O-methylation of substrate RNAs. U50 is an intronic snoRNA gene located on chromosome 6q15, at the breakpoint of chromosomal translocation t(3;6)(q27;q15). The record is from RNAcentral. Lineage: Eukaryota; Metazoa; Chordata; Actinopteri; Salmoniformes; Salmonidae.